Molecule: ribosomal RNA, 390 nt
Filed under: uncultured bacterium
Lineage: Bacteria
Description: bacterial SSU rRNA
Rfam family: Bacterial small subunit ribosomal RNA
Source: RNAcentral
AUUGAACGCUGGCGGCAUGCCUUACACAUGCAAGUCGAACGGCAGCGCGGGGCAACCUGGCGGCGAGUGGCGAACGGGUGAGUAAUAUAUCGGAACAUACCCUAGAGUGGGGGAUAACGUAGCGAAAGUUACGCUAAUACCGCAUACGCACUAAGGUGGAAAGUGGGGGAUCUUCGGACCUCAUGCUCAUGGAGUGGCCGAUAUCUGAUUAGCUAGUUGGUGAGGUAAAGGCUCACCAAGGCGACGAUCAGUAGCUGGUUUGAGAGAACGACCAGCCACACUGGAACUGAGACACGGUCCAGACUCCUACGGAGGCAGCAGUGGGGAAUUUUGGACAAUGGGGGCAACCCUGAUCCAGCAAUGCCGCGUGAGUGAAGAAGGCCUUCGGUU